RNAcentral lists this ribosomal RNA (216 nucleotides) under Vitrella brassicaformis. Its description in RNAcentral is "partial Eukaryotic small subunit ribosomal RNA". It matches the Rfam family "Eukaryotic small subunit ribosomal RNA", at positions 612 to 829 of the family's 1831-position model. Lineage: Eukaryota; Vitrellaceae. The record is from RNAcentral.
GUUGCAGUUAAAAAGCUCGUAGUUGGAUUUCUGGCGGGAGCGGGUGGUCCGGCACUUUGUGUUGGUACUUUCCUGUCUCUUGCCAUCCUUGGGUCUAAGCUGUCUGGCAUUUAGUUGUCGGGCAGUGGCUGCCCAUCGUUUACUGUGAAAAAAUUAGAGUGUUCAAAGCAGGCUUAUGCCGUUGAAUAUAUUAGCAUGGAAUAAUAAGAUAGGGCC